This is a long non-coding RNA of Cyprinodon tularosa, 282 nucleotides long. RefSeq lists it as uncharacterized. The transcript has 4 exons. The record is from RefSeq and is a predicted model, not a curated record. NCBI's taxonomy places the organism in Eukaryota, Metazoa, Chordata, Actinopteri, Cyprinodontiformes, Cyprinodontidae.
AGGUCACUUUUCACACUACAUGUUGAGGAUCUAUGCAGACUCUUCAAUGGCUCCUACACUGCUUAAGUUUUAUUCUAACUUGUGGAUACAUUCGUUUUAGAGCUUCAGCAGGAGAUGAUGCUGCAACGAACUGACAUUUGAGGUCACUUUUCACACUACAUGUUGAGGAUCUAUGCAGACUCUUCAAUGGCUCCUACACUGCUUAAGUUUUAUUCUAACUUGUGGAUACAUUCGUUUUAGAGCUUCAGCAGGAGAUGAUGCUGCAACGAACUGACAUUUGAG